This 215-nucleotide long non-coding RNA is filed under the name Elaeis guineensis (African oil palm). RNAcentral's name for it is "long non-coding RNA (EGUI_LNC065874)". Lineage: Eukaryota; Viridiplantae; Streptophyta; Magnoliopsida; Arecales; Arecaceae. The record is from RNAcentral.
GCUCGAACCCCUUGAUGAAGGCUUCCUGGCCAAACCGGACGUUCAGGUCUCUCAUCUCCGUGGAGGCCUUGAACUCCUCUACCGCAAGACCCCUGGCCUCCGAGACCAAGACUGGAAUCUGCUCCGUCAAAUUGGUGACCCCGGCCUCCGCCGUUCUCACCGUCUCCUCCAAGGUCUGUUUCUCCUCCUCCCGGGCCUGCUUCUCUUUCUCCAGG